RNAcentral lists this ribosomal RNA (301 nucleotides) under uncultured bacterium. Its description in RNAcentral is "partial 16S ribosomal RNA". It matches the Rfam family "Bacterial small subunit ribosomal RNA", at positions 509 to 807 of the family's 1533-position model. The record is from RNAcentral.
CAGUCGCCACGGGAAUACGGAGGGUGCAAGCGUUACUCGGAAUCACUGGGCGUAAAGCGUGCGCAGGCGGUCCGCUAAGACAGAUGUGAAAUCCCCGGGCUUAACCUGGGAACUGCAUUUGUGACUGGCGGGCUAGAGUAUGGCGGAGGGGGGUAGAAUUCCACGUGUAGCAGUGAAAUGCGUAGAGAUGCGGAGGAAUACCGAUGGCGAAGGCAGCCCCCUGGGCCAAUACUGACGCUCAUGCACGAAAGCGUGGGGAGCAAACAGGAUUAGAUACCCCCGUAGUCCCUGUCUCUUAUAC